CCGUAAACGAUAACACUAGUUUCGGGGGAAUCGACCCCCUCGGUGUCGUANCCAACGCGUUAAGUGUUCCGCCUGGGGAGUACGCACGCAAGUGUGAAACUCAAANUGAAUUGACGNGGGCCCGCACAANCGGUGGAGUAUGUGGUUUAAUUCGAUGCAACGCGAAGAACCUUACCAGGGUUUGACAUCCUGCGAAUCUCUUGGAAACGAGAGAGUGCCUUCGGGAGCGCAGUGACAGGUGGUGCAUGGCUGUCGUCAGCUCGUGUCGUGAGAUGUUGGGUUAAGUCCCGCAACGAGCGCAACCCACGUCUUUAGUUGCCAGCAUUUAGUUGGGCACUCUAGAGAGACCGCCGGUGAUAAACCGGAGGAAGGUGUGGAUGACGUCAAGUCAUCAUGCCCCUUACAUCCUGGGCUACACACGUACUACAAUGCUACGGACAAAGAGCAGCAAGUUCGCGAGGACAAGCAAAUCUCAUAAACCGUGGCUCAGUUCAGAUCGUAGGCUGCAACUCGCCUACGUGAAGGAGGAAUCGCUAGUAAUCGCAGGUCAGCAUACUG
This 558-nucleotide ribosomal RNA is filed under the name uncultured bacterium. RNAcentral's name for it is "bacterial SSU rRNA". It matches the Rfam family "Bacterial small subunit ribosomal RNA", at positions 800 to 1359 of the family's 1533-position model. The record is from RNAcentral.